CUGCCUCAUUUGCACUCGUUCAAAGCAUCUUUUUGCUCUUUGUUAACGGAAUACUGGUAAGCAUCGUCAAUUUGAAUCAUAUACAUGUUUGUGUGUGCGUACGUUUGUGAAUGUGUAGAUCACUGGAUUGAAGAAAGACAGUAACCUGAAUGAUUUUCUCUGAUCAUGCACUAAGUGUGUGCGUACGUUUGUGAAUGUGUAGAUCACUGGAUUGAAGAAAGACAGUAACCUGAAUGAUUUUCUCUGAUCAUGUACUAAACUGCACUCUGCUUUAUGUGAUGCCUUUUACAAAUGUCUUUAUAUAUAUAUAUAUAUCUUUUUAAAGAUCUAGUGAUGAGCUGUUGUUUGCCUCUAAAUGUUCUAUGGUUCGUUUCAUUUACUUGUUCAUCCAUUUGAAGCUGG
This 402-nucleotide long non-coding RNA is filed under the name Citrus sinensis (sweet orange). RNAcentral's name for it is "long non-coding RNA (CSIN_LNC005443)". The record is from RNAcentral. Lineage: Eukaryota; Viridiplantae; Streptophyta; Magnoliopsida; Sapindales; Rutaceae.